CCAACUUUGUCUAGGAGCUGCCCCGUGAUGCCCUGCGUCGCCCUGUGUCGUUGCCUCGUCGUGGUUCGUAAUAAUUGCGUCGUUGUUUCCAUGCCCAUGGCGUGAACUGCCCCUGCACCUCCAUCGUUGGCUAGUUGAACUCGCCCGUGAUGCUCCAGAGACGUCCCCGCGCCUAUACAAGGAGUGUCCGACCUUCCCCGCACAUCAGCACUCUCUCCCUCGCCUCAUUGUUCACCGGAGUACCUCUCCUUCAUUGUUUCCUCGCCGUUCGUCCACGGUGGUCAUCGGCCUUGGCUUGGGUCCGGCCACCUCAGGCCUCCCCUCGCCUCUCCUCCACGUCCACCGCACUUCCCACACCCCCACGAGCCGCCCCACCACCUUGCCCCCCUCACCGGAGACCCUCCAAGGCUAUGCCCCCACUAACCUGAGCCGCCGCCCCUACCCUCCUCUGGUGCCGCCCUCCCCUCCUCCCCAGGCCUCCUCGGCGCCCGUUUCCCCUCUAAACGGAGUCUGCACUCCAUCCUGCCCUCGCCACCACUCUCGCCCGACCCUAACACCUACCGGAGCCUCUCCAUUGGUCGAAGCCGCCGUCCUCAGCCGCGCCAUGCAUCCCCACUUCCUGCUAUCCCCAGCCUAGACGAAGACCUCCCCUGGACGUGGUGCUCGCCGGCACACCCAUUCAUGCUUUCGCCUUCACCGGAGAUGGCCGGAGCCGGCCGGGUGGUCACUGGCCGCGCCUCUGUCCCGCCCGCCCCUGUUCUUGACGGGGAGGAGGAGGGAGGAAGAAGAAGACAUGGGGAGGAGAUGGAUAAGGUGGCUCCCCCUGUCAGCCGCACAAGCCUGGCCCCGCCACCACCACGUCACAUAGGUCCCUGAGCUUCAACACCUCACAACUUUUCAACCGUAACUCUGAUCGAGCCCCUUCCAAGAGAGAAUCGUCCGGUGUUUCGUUUCCGCGGCUUCACCACACUUCUUCCCGAGUCUCCGUCACCCCCAGG
This is a long non-coding RNA of Triticum dicoccoides, 998 nucleotides long. RefSeq lists it as uncharacterized. Lineage: Eukaryota; Viridiplantae; Streptophyta; Magnoliopsida; Poales; Poaceae. The transcript has 3 exons. The record is from RefSeq and is a predicted model, not a curated record.